RNAcentral lists this ribosomal RNA (388 nucleotides) under uncultured bacterium. RNAcentral describes it as "bacterial SSU rRNA". It matches the Rfam family "Bacterial small subunit ribosomal RNA", at positions 86 to 507 of the family's 1533-position model. The record is from RNAcentral.
GCAAUCGGCAGUGCGGACGGGUGAGUAACGCGUAGGAAUCUAUCCUUGAAUGGGGGACAACCGUGGGAAACUACGGCUAAUACCGCAUGAUGCCUGAGGGCCAAAGACGAAAGUCGUUUGAGGAGGAGCCUGCGUCUGAUUAGGUAGUUGGUGGGGUAAAGGCCUACCCAAGCCUACGAUCAGUAGCUGGUCUGAGAGGAUGAUCAGCCACAUUGGGACUGAGACACGGCCCAAACUCCUACGGGAGGCAGCAGUGGGGAAUAUUGGACAAUGGGCGCAAGCCUGAUCCAGCAAUGCCGCGUGGGUGAAGAAGGUCUUCGGAUUGUAAAGCCCUUUCGACGGGACGAUGAUGACGGUACCCGUAGAAGAAGCCCCGGCUAACUACGUG